Molecule: ribosomal RNA, 493 nt
Filed under: uncultured bacterium
Lineage: Bacteria
Description: partial 16S ribosomal RNA
Rfam family: Bacterial small subunit ribosomal RNA
Source: RNAcentral
GACGAACGCUGGCGGCGUGCUUAACACAUGCAAGUCGAACGGUGAAGGGACCGGUUUUUGCUGGUUCUGGAUGAGUGGCGAACGGGUGAGUAACACGUGAGUAACCUGCCCCCUUCUUCUGGAUAACCGCAUGAAAGUGUGGCUAAUACGGGAUAUUCUGCGCCUGCUGCAUGGUGGGUGUGGGAAAGAUAUUGUUUCGGUGGGGGAUGGGCUCGCGGCCUAUCAGCUUGUUGGUGGGGUGAUGGCCUACCAAGGCGGUGAGGGGUAGCCGGCCUGGGAGGGUGGGCGGUACUGCUGGGACUGCGACACGGCCCCGACUCCUACGGGAGGCAGCAGUGGGGAAUAUUGCACAAGGGGCGCAAGCCUGAUGCAGCGACGCCGCGUGAGGGAUGGAGGCCUUCGGGUUGUAAACCUCUUUCGCCAGUGAAGCAGGCCUGUCCCUUUUGUGGGUGGGUUGACGGUAGCUGGAUAAGAAGCGCCGGCUAACUACGUG